AUUGAACGCUGGCGGCAGGCCUAACACAUGCAAGUCGAGCGAGCGGCGGACGGGUGAGUAAUGGCUGGGAAACUGCCUGAGGGAGGGGGAGAACUACUGGAAACGGUAGCUAAUACCGCAUACCAUCAGAUGUGCCCAGAUGGGAUUAGCUGGUGGGUGGGGUAACGGCUCACCUAGGCGACGAUCCCUAGCUGGUCUGCGAGGAUGACCAGCCACACUGGAACUGAGACACGGGCCAGACCCCUACGGUAGGCAGCAGUGGGGAAUAUUGCACAAUGGUCGAAAGCCUGAUGCAGCCAUGCCGCGUGUGUGAAGAAGGCCUUCGGGUUGUAAAGCACUUUCAGCGGGGAGGCGUUACCCGCAGAAGAAGCACCGGCUAACUCCGUGCCAGCAGCCGCGGUAAUUC
RNAcentral lists this ribosomal RNA (406 nucleotides) under uncultured bacterium. Its description in RNAcentral is "partial 16S ribosomal RNA". It matches the Rfam family "Bacterial small subunit ribosomal RNA", at positions 29 to 526 of the family's 1533-position model. The record is from RNAcentral.